Molecule: non-coding RNA, 75 nt
Organism: Streptomyces sp. Termitarium-T10T-6
Lineage: Bacteria; Bacillati; Actinomycetota; Actinomycetes; Kitasatosporales; Streptomycetaceae
Source: Rfam
CUUCACCGAGCCGAGCCACUGCGGCCGGUCCUCCGGGCGGUCCUUGCCGUACGUCGCGAUCAGCGCGUCGGCCUC